GGCAGAAAGGCACCUGCCAAGAUUAUAGUAUAUAAGCCACUGAAUCAUGCAAAAAUAUUUACCCCCAAAAGUUGUAGUAAAAGCUCAGCUUCCUCCAGCCUCCAUAGCCCCUGAAGUGUUAAUCUGAAGAAACAGUUCCAUGAGUUUCCACAGGCCAGCAGUGAGUCUCCUACACUUGACCUAGACAGCCUUACAUAACGAAGCAUCAGUGCUGGGGAGCUUGCUGAAUGUCAUCACUAGCAAGAACAAGAAGUAUUGGCAGCAGCAGGCAGGCAGGCAGGCUGGGAGUUUGCAUGGAAAUCAUGAAUUCUUUCUUGCCUUUCUCUUUUGAAAUGCUUUGGAAGGAGAGUUAAGAAUAGCGCAGAAAGUGGACUCUCUCUCUCUCUCUCUCUCUCUCUCUCUCUCUCUCAGAAUGAUCUGAAGCAUAAAAGCUAAAUCUUUCAGCAAGUGCAAGAUGCUUCCUUGAUAUUUGCAGUAAACCUACCAGGAUGAAUUGCUGCCUUUAAGGUCCUAUACCAUAUCACCCAAAAUGAAGGGAAUGGCACUGAAUGUAAUAGCACAAAGGAUGCCACCGAGAGCUUUUGCCUACCUUUAACUCAUUGUGGCAAAGUUGGACAUUCCAAAGAUGGCGUAGAUGAACAUGACCAGGAAGAGCAGGAGGCCGAUGUUAAACAAGGCAGGAAGGGACAUCAUCAAAGCGAAGAGCAGCGUGCGGAUCCCCUUGGCUCCUUUGAUCAGACGGAGGAUUCGGCCGAUCCUGGCAAGACGGAUCACUCGGAACAGGAGAAGAAGGAAUACAUGAAAACAUUUAGAAGAAAAAACAAGCAUUACGUACCCCGAAUCUGGGCUGAAACCACAAAGGAGAGCAUCUUUGGAUCCCUCCAAGCAAAGUUGUACAUUCCAAAGAUGGCGUAGAUGAACAUGACCAGGAAGAUGAGAAGACUGAUGUUCAACAGUGCUGGGAGGGACAGCAUCAGAGGGAGCAUCAGAUCACGGAACACCUUUGGCCCUUUCCCAAGACGCAGGAUGUGGAUGAUGCGAGAGAGAAGUACCAGUUGCACAAGUGUAGGGGGCACCAAGUAGUAUCCCACUGUCAUAGGCAGAAGCAGUCCUGGUUAAAGAGAAAAGAGUCAAGAAAAUUAUCCACAUGUAAUGAUGUUUAGAGGAACAUGCUAUUUUAUACUUAAGUGGUUGUUUCUAGAUUUUAAUUUUUAUUAAUGCC
Molecule: long non-coding RNA, 1222 nt
Filed under: Fukomys damarensis (Damara mole-rat)
Lineage: Eukaryota; Metazoa; Chordata; Mammalia; Rodentia; Bathyergidae
Description: lncRNA (ENSFDAG00000025307.1)
Source: RNAcentral